This 465-nucleotide ribosomal RNA is filed under the name uncultured Klebsiella sp. Its description in RNAcentral is "bacterial SSU rRNA". It matches the Rfam family "Bacterial small subunit ribosomal RNA", at positions 338 to 795 of the family's 1533-position model. Lineage: Bacteria; Pseudomonadati; Pseudomonadota; Gammaproteobacteria; Enterobacterales; Enterobacteriaceae. The record is from RNAcentral.
CCUACGGGUGGCAGCAGUGGGGAAUAUUGCACAAUGGGCGCAAGCCUGAUGCAGCCAUGCCGCGUGUGUGAAGAAGGCCUUCGGGUUGUAAAGCACUUUCAGCGGGGAGGAAGGCGGUGAGGUUAAUAACCUCAUCGAUUGACGUUACCCGCAGAAGAAGCACCGGCUAACUCCGUGCCAGCAGCUGCGGUAAUACGGAGGGUGCAAGCGUUAAUCGGAAUUACUGGGCGUAAAGCGCACGCAGGCGGUCUGUCAAGUCGGAUGUGAAAUCCCCGGGCUCAACCUGAGAACUGCAUUCGAAACUGGCAGGCUAGAGUCUUGUAGAGGGGGGUAGAAUUCCAGGUGUAGCGGUGAAAUGCGUAGAGAUCUGGAGGAAUACCGGUGGCGAAGGCGGCCCCCUGGACAAAGACUGACGCUCAGGUGCGAAAGCGUGGGGAGCAAACAGGAUUAGAUACCCUGGUAGUC